GAUGAACGCUGGCGGCGUGCCUAAUACAUGCAAGUCGAGCGAACAGACGAGGAGCUUGCUCCUCUGACGUUAGCGGCGGACGGGUGAGUAACACGUGGAUAACCUACCUAUAAGACUGGGAUAACUUCGGGAAACCGGAGCUAAUACCGGAUAAUAUAUUGAACCGCAUGGUUCAAUAGUGAAAGACGGUUUUGCUGUCACUUAUAGAUGGAUCCGCGCCGCAUUAGCUAGUUGGUAAGGUAACGGCUUACCAAGGCAACGAUGCGUAGCCGACCUGAGAGGGUGAUCGGCCACACUGGAACUGAGACACGGUCCAGACUCCUACGGGAGGCAGCAGUAGGGAAUGUUCCGCAAGGGGCGAAAGCCUGACGGAGCAACGCCGCGUGAGUGAUGAAGGUCUUCGGAUCGUAAAACUCUGUUAUUAGGGAAGAACAAAUGUGUAAGUAACUAUGCACGUCUUGACGGUACCUAAUCAGAAAGCCACGGCUAGCUACGUG
This 497-nucleotide ribosomal RNA is filed under the name uncultured bacterium. Its description in RNAcentral is "partial 16S ribosomal RNA". It matches the Rfam family "Bacterial small subunit ribosomal RNA", at positions 28 to 507 of the family's 1533-position model. The record is from RNAcentral.